Molecule: unclassified non-coding RNA, 405 nt
Filed under: Athalia rosae (coleseed sawfly)
Lineage: Eukaryota; Metazoa; Arthropoda; Insecta; Hymenoptera; Athaliidae
Description: misc RNA ENSAEAG00005011195.1
Source: RNAcentral
UUUUUUUCACAUUUUUUUGUCCAGCCGUUUUUGAGUUACGAAUUUUCAAAAACCCAAAACAGCAUCUUGAUCAAUUUUUUUUUUUUUUUUUCAAAAAAUUCUCAAAAACACUGUAUACGACCGUUGACGAACAUUUUUUGUUUUUAAAAAAAGCUGGCUGGUUUUUUUUUCCAAUUUCAUUUCAUUUUUCUUCAAUUUGUUUUUUUUUUUUGCCAUCGCAAACUUUUUUUCGAAACGUGAAUUAUUUUUAUUUUUUUUCAUUCGAAAGGUGAAACGAGAAAUGCUUUUUCGAAAUCCUACAUUUAAAAUAGUCAACGCAAAAGGCUAUUUUACAUUUCAAAUACAUUUUCCAAAUGAAAUCGAUAUCAAACGUUAUCCAGCGGUGCGGGUUGUUGUGUAUGUCUG